UACGUAGGAGGCAAGCGUUGUCCGGAUUUACUGGGCGUAAAGAGCGUGUAGGCGGUGCGUUAAGUCUGCCGUGAAAGUGCACGGCUUAACCGUGCGAGGUCGGUGGAAACUGGCGCACUUGAGGACGGUAGAGGGGGGUGGAAUUCCCGGUGUAGUGGUGAAAUGCGUAGAUAUCGGGAGGAACACCAGCGGCGAAGGCGGCCCCCUGGGCCGCUCCUGACGCUGAGACGCGAAGGCCAGGGUAGCGAACGGG
Molecule: ribosomal RNA, 253 nt
Filed under: uncultured bacterium
Lineage: Bacteria
Description: partial 16S ribosomal RNA
Rfam family: Bacterial small subunit ribosomal RNA
Source: RNAcentral